RNAcentral lists this unclassified non-coding RNA (2459 nucleotides) under Hevea brasiliensis (rubber tree). Lineage: Eukaryota; Viridiplantae; Streptophyta; Magnoliopsida; Malpighiales; Euphorbiaceae. The record is from RNAcentral.
CUGGUGUUGUACCACCAUUCUGCCUAGUACAACCACUUAGCCCACGGUUUGGGUUGAGCAAAGCACAUAGCAUCUCAAAUUGGCUUCUACACAUCUUUUCACUACUUCGGUUUGGCCAUCUGUCUGUGCAUGAUAGGCUGUGCUGAACUGAAGUUUAGUGCCUAGGAACUUGAAGAGUUCUUGGCAUAAUUGACCUAUGAAUAAGCAUGAGAUAGAGCAAAAAAGUGAGCACACUAAGUGAAUCUGUCUACCACCACCAGAAUUGAGUCAAACCCCUGGGACUUAUGUAAUUUGUCAUUUAAAUUUAUGGAUGUGGAUUGCUGAGCUUAUUAUGGAAUGGGCAAUGGUUGUAGUAAUCCUGGGUAGGCAGUACAGGACUCAAAUUUGCACCUUCUGCAAACGUCACAGGUUAGAACCCAUUCUGUUGUUGAUUUUUGCAUGCCAGGCCAGUACAAUACUCAUCCCAGUCUUUGAUAAGUGCCUCCAAUAUGAGAUUGGUGGUAAGUCUCAAUUAUUCUAAGCCUUAAACUAUUGAUGCUCCCUACAUAUAGCUUCCCUUUAUAAUAUGAGAGUCCAGCUUUGAGAGUGUAAUUAGGAAUUGAAUUAGAUUUAUUGACAGAGCUUGGAGCAGCUUUAGAGCUUCAUCAUCCUCUUUAUGGGAAGCUCUGGCUUCUUCCAUCCAAGUAUGAAUGAUAAAGGCUGUGAGAAAAUAUGAACACUGCAAAUUUGGCCUUCUGGAUAAAGCAUCUGCUGCCUUAUUCUCAGCCCCCUUGUAUUGAAUUCUAUAGUCAAACCAAUAAUUUGGUGAUCACUUUCUAUUGGACGUUGUUGUGUAAUCUCUGCUCCAGAAGAUGCUUAAUACUCUUGUGAUUGGUCUUUAUAAUAAAUUCGCCUUGCUCUAAAUAGUGUCUCCACUUAGAUACAACAAGUAAGAUGGCUAGCAACUCUCUUUUAUUUGUUGACAGCUGCUGGCUUCUCGUGCUCAGUGGUUUUGAGAGAAAAUAAAUAGGCCUUUCCUUCUGCAUAAGGACUGCUUCGAUUUGAAACCCCUCCAUACUCCCAUCAUAUCGUAGUGAAUUAAAUGACUCAAUUACAUCCUCCAUUAUAUUGUCCCCAAUCCUAUCAUACAAGAAUCUCUCAAAUUCUUCCCAUUCUAUAGCUCUUUUACUCUUGCCUCAAUUCUGAAAUCACAUCUUUAUUUUUCCACCUACAAACAGAGAAGCUAAUUCAACCUGCCUCCACAUCAUAUAUAUGGAAAUAUCAUGCAUUUCGCAAUCCAAACCCAAGGCUCUUCCCCUUCAAAAGUAGGAAGAUUUACUUUGGGCAAUAAUUUGCUCCAAUAUGAUGGUCUUAAGGGCUGGUCACUACUGGUCCUAUCGCCUGGCUCCCUGGGUGUGGAACUGGGAAGUAUUGCCUGGUAUCUCUAGAUGAUUCUACACCAGUGGUAGGUUCUUUAACUGUGCAGAUUUUAUACCAUUUGGUUGAGUUUGGCUUGGACCUUUUGGCUGUCAGCGAAUGCGUUCUGUGUUUCUUCAUAAUAAUAAUCAUGAAUCUCCUAAGCUAAUGUCUUGCUCUUUGAAUAUUAUGUAACUAAAUCACUAAUUUGCUGUACUAUAUGGAAUUCUUUUUUUAUUGGACUCUUAGUUGCUAAGAUGCUUACACACAUAAAUAAAUUAAAAUUCUAUAAAGGUUAUACUUUUAUUAUGAAUAUAAUAAGACAAUUAACAAUUAUAUCUUAAAUAGAGAGACCCAUCUCAUAGUUCAAUGUACGUGUAAAAUUAUUCUUAUGUGGUAAAAUAAUAUUAAUUAAGAAGCCAAUUGUCAAGAGGGGAGGCAUGAGACGUGACGGACUAAGAUUGUGUGUGUGUGUGUGUUGAUUCUUGUGAUCCUGAAUUUUGUGUGAUCCUUAUUCUAUUUAGGCUUCCAUGUAAUAGAUUCUUCUAAUUAUUUCUCUAUUUAUUUAUAAUAAAUAGGAAUUACUAUUAUCCUGCAUGUAGGAGUGCAAGACUGAUACCGAUUAGGAAUUUAACAUGGCCCACUACUUUAAAGUGGUGAAUAAAGAAAUUCACUGAAAAUUUUAGAAAUUUUUAGCUUUCUUUCGGAUUAUCAUUUUCCAUUGAUGUUUUCUCCAUCCUUUAACUGUAUUUCUGCAUCAUAAUUCCUCUAGCAAGAUAUUUUACAGAUUACUCAUGAAAUAAAUGUCUCUCAAUGUCAUUUGAUUUUGGCCCACAGGAACGCCAGAAUUCAUCUCAACUCAAGGGUGAGCAAAGGCGUAGAGAACUUGAGAUGAUCAAUGACCUUCUUAGUGUGAAGGAAAUACUUCGUGAUGCUAAGCAAUGCCCAUCUUGUAAGAUGGCAAUCUCAAGAACUGAAGGUUGCAAUAAGAUGGUAUGUAAUAACUGUGGGCAAUACUUCUGCUACCGCUGUAACAGUGCAAUUGAUGGAUAUGAUCAUUUUAA